This 253-nucleotide ribosomal RNA is filed under the name uncultured bacterium. RNAcentral's name for it is "partial 16S ribosomal RNA". It matches the Rfam family "Bacterial small subunit ribosomal RNA", at positions 524 to 776 of the family's 1533-position model. The record is from RNAcentral.
GACAGAGGCCCCAAGCGUUAGGCGGAAUCACUGGGCUUAAAGCGUGUGUAGGCGGACUUCUAAGUGCCUUGUGAAAUCCCACGGCUCAACCGUGGAACUGCUCGGUAUACUGGUCGUCUUGAGCCUUCUAGGGGCGAGUGGAACAAAUGGUGGAGCGGUGAAAUGCGUAGAUAUCAUUUGGAACGCCAAUGGUGAAAACAACUCGCUGGGGAAGUGCUGACGCUGAGACACGAAAGCCAGGGGAGCGAACGGG